CCACGUGUCCCUACAUUUUUCCCCUCAUCUUCCACCGCCUCAGUCAUUCCAUUGAUUCUGUUCUUUCUUUUUUCUUUCUGUCUUGUUUAGCUGGGAAAAAAUCGAGAAACAGAAAAACAGAGCAAACAGAGCACGAGAGAGAGAGAGCGAGAUAAAGAGCGAAAUAGAGAGCGAGAUGGAGAGCAAUUGUGCGGUGGAGAACUUGGCUGGAAAUUCAUGCAGGAGUAAGGACUCGGCUUGGAGAACAGGGAGAUGGAGGGAGUCCGUUGGUUUUGAGUUGGAUUGAGGUGAACGGUUCCUUGAAGGAUUAGGAGUUGACGAGACCGAAAAUAAGCACCCAGAAGGCUCGAUUUGUUGAGUUAUCAUUUUGAAAAUUGUCUGUAAAUACUUUAUUCCCUUGUAAAAUGAUGUAUUAUAGUUAUACAAACUAUUUAAGAAGAAUAUUGUGAUAAUUAGAUUAAGAAACCGAUUUUACUAUGUUGUGUGAAAGGAAUUGAAUGAUAUUGCAUGUUAUGUUUCAUUUUGACUUGAGGUA
This is a non-coding RNA of Punica granatum (pomegranate), 535 nucleotides long. NCBI's taxonomy places the organism in Eukaryota, Viridiplantae, Streptophyta, Magnoliopsida, Myrtales, Lythraceae. The record is from RefSeq and is a predicted model, not a curated record.